UUAAUUGAAGAGUUUGAUCAUGGCUCAGAUUGAACGCUGGCGGCAGGCCUAACACAUGCAAGUCGAGCGGUAGCACAAGAGAGCUUGCUCUCUGGGUGACGAGCGGCGGACGGGUGAGUAAUGUCUGGGAAACUGCCUGAUGGAGGGGGAUAACUACUGGAAACGGUAGCUAAUACCGCAUGACGUCUUCGGACCAAAGUGGGGGACCUUCGGGCCUCACGCCAUCAGAUGUGCCCAGAUGGGAUUAGCUAGUAGGUGGGGUAAUGGCUCACCUAGGCGACGAUCUCUAGCUGGUCUGAGAGGAUGACCAGCCACACUGGAACUGAGACACGGUCCAGACUCCUACGGGAGGCAGCAGUGGGGAAUAUUGCACAAUGGGCGCAAGCCUGAUGCAGCCAUGCCGCGUGUAUGAAGAAGGCCUUCGGGUUGUAAAGUACUUUCAGCGAGGAGGAAGGCAUUGUGGUUAAUAACCGCAGUGAUUGACGUUACUCGCAGAAGAAGCACCGGCUAACUCCGUGCCAGCAGCCGCGG
RNAcentral lists this ribosomal RNA (531 nucleotides) under Hafnia alvei. Its description in RNAcentral is "bacterial SSU rRNA". It matches the Rfam family "Bacterial small subunit ribosomal RNA", at positions 1 to 520 of the family's 1533-position model. The record is from RNAcentral. Lineage: Bacteria; Pseudomonadati; Pseudomonadota; Gammaproteobacteria; Enterobacterales; Hafniaceae.